CUUUAUUGGAGAGUUUGAUCCUGGCUCAGGACGAACGCUGGCGGCGUGCCUAAUACAUGCAAGUCGAGCGGACUUGAUGGAGUGCUUGCACUCCUGAAGGUUAGCGGCGGACGGGUGAGUAACACGUAGGCAACCUGCCCUCAAGACUGGGAUAACUACCGGAAACGGUAGCUAAUACCGGAUAAUUUAUUUUGCAGCAUUGUGAGAUAAU
Molecule: ribosomal RNA, 211 nt
Filed under: Paenibacillus sp. cl141a
Lineage: Bacteria; Bacillati; Bacillota; Bacilli; Caryophanales; Paenibacillaceae
Description: 16S rRNA. Bacterial SSU
Rfam family: Bacterial small subunit ribosomal RNA
Source: RNAcentral